CACUAUGCCUAGUCGUAAACAUUGAUAGUCUUAUACACCUACUAUCCGCCCGGGUACUACGAGCGCCAGUUUAAAACCCAAAGGACUUGGCGGUGCUUUAGACCCCCCUAGAGGAGCCUGUUCUGUAACCGAUACCCCCCGUCUAACCUCACCUCUCCUUGCUCGUACCGUCUAUAUACCGCCGUCGUCAGCUCACCCUGUAAAGGUCGCAUAGUAAGCAUAAUUGGGUUACCCUUGAACGUCAGGUCGAGGUGUAGCGUAUGGAGAGGGAAGAAAUGGGCUACAUUCCCUUGCAAGGGAAUACAAAUGAUGCACUGAAAUAGCUAUCUGAAGGAGGAUUUAGCAGUAAGUAAAAAAUAGAGUGUUUUACUGAAACUGGCUCUAAAGCGCGCACACACCGCCCGUCACUCUCUCCUAACCCUGCACCUACAAAUAACUAAUUUUAUCUUUGUUCACAGAGGAGAGGCAAGUCGUAA
Molecule: ribosomal RNA, 476 nt
Filed under: Neoaploactis tridorsalis
Lineage: Eukaryota; Metazoa; Chordata; Actinopteri; Perciformes; Aploactinidae
Description: partial small subunit ribosomal RNA
Rfam family: Bacterial small subunit ribosomal RNA
Source: RNAcentral